AUAUUAUCUAGGUAGCGAUGAUUUUUCUGCACGUAAAUGCAAUUUAUUGGAUACUACUGUUAUAUUCUUGAUGUUAUUUAAUGAUAUAUAUUCAUGUUUUUGUAUUGUUUUCGUUGUUGUUGCGCAUUACACACAUAAGUGUAAGUUUGACAGUAAAUGUGUAAUGUUAACACUGUUACACAUAGUUUAUGGUACCGACUAAAUCAUGGACAAGUAAGAAUACAGCCUUGUAAAUUUCAAAAUUCUGAAAGGGGCAUAUGAUGUAAUACUGGUAUGUAACUAUAAAUACAGAUUAUAGCUACUAUAAGAUUUGUCCUUGAAAAAAUCAACAGUUUCUACUGAACAUACAUUGUCAAAGUGUUUUAUCAGUUACUAUCCUGGUUCUUUUUUUUUAGCAAAUCUGAUUUUUGAACAAAAUCUAUGAGGUAAUCUGAUUUUUGAACAAAAUCUGUGAGGUAAUCUGAUUUUUGAAAAAAAAUCUUUGAGGUAUUGUCAUCAUUUGAUGGUUGGAAUUGGUUAUGAUUUUGUUAAUAGGUCCACUCUUUCUUGAAUGUUAUAAGAGCUAUAGGUUUGAAACUUUGUACAUUCAUGUAUCAUCAUUAUAUUAAUAAGUAGGCCAAGAACCAUAACUCUUACUUGCAUUAUGUCAGAAUUACGGCUCUUUUUGUACUUAAAAAAUUUGUAUUUCUUGGUGAAUGUUUUUGUUUAGGUCCGUUUUCUUGAAUACUGUAUUAAGAGCUAUAGCUUUUAAAUUGUACAUCUAUUUAUUAUCAGUGGGUUAGUAUAAAAGCCAAGAACCAUAACUCUUUUCUUGCAUUUUGCUUAAUGUCAAUAAGCAUGGAAUGUUUGAUGUUUAUUAUUCAAUCAGUUUAUUUGAGUACAGAAUGUUUCUUUUAAAAUGAACUGUCUACUGGAAGUAAACUAGAAAACAGCACAUAAAAGAGUUCAAAAAACAUAUUAAGAAUUUACACAAAUUUGCAAUUUUCUUGGCAUGUUAAUGCUCGUUGAUACUAACAAAGUCUAUUUACAAGAUGCGUAUCUCAUUUUACCACACUUUUCUUGAGUUAAUUUUUGUUUAAUGUCCUUUGAUCAAAAUCUUGCAUAGGCAUUGACAAAGAUGAAUACUUCUCAAUCGCAGUGGAAGAAUGACAGCUGUGUAUGGGAGAUUGAACCUGGAUAUCCAUGUCAUGUGAACGUGGACUUGGUCCAAAAUGAACAAAAUAUGAACCAUUUCUACAUUUGUAUGUUGUACUGUGAAAAAAUAACAGGAUUGCUAAAAAUGUAAAAUUCAGUCAUUUUUGUUGCUUAAGACUGUUUUGUUUGAUCUUUUGUUUAUUUCAACACUGCUUUGUUAAGUGGCACUGUUCUGUAACCCCCUCUCUUCCUUAGUUUCCAGACUUCCCCACUUUUUAUGUAGGUCGCCAAAAUUCUUUUAAACCCAUAUUCAGUUACUUGUGCAACCAUAAGAAGUAUAUUGAGAGCUAUGCUGUGAUGGAUCACUUUUUAUAUAUCACGUUUAUGAAGAAUAUGAACCUGUUAUAAUAGAAUAUUGCAUUUUAGAAAAACUUUAACAAAUUGUAUUUAAAGACUGACAAAAUUGUGUGAAAAAAAAAAUUGUGGUUUGGUGCAAGAACUAUUUCCGACACUAAUAUUUCUCACAUUUGAAAAUGUAAAAAUAGGAUGUUGUUGUUCACAGGGGUGUGAAGAAUUUUUGAAAAGUUUGGUCCAACAGAGUUGUCGUCACCUUGGUGCAAUAUUUAUAGGUUAUUAGCUUUGUAUUGGGAAAUAUGCACAAGUUCUGCAGCGGAAAUAUUGCGUAACUUUAGGAGCGUAAUAUUGUUCUGCUAAAGAAUGAGUGCAUAUUUCCCUAUGCAAAGAUAAUAACCUUUUUAUUACAAACGUAUCUACACGUAUAAAUGUAUAUAAUGUUAAUAUAAUGAAUUUGUUAAAAAGCCUGAAUAAAAUUGAUAAUAUUGAACUAAAUAAAAGAAUUAAUGCAAUGACACUAAUUAAAUACACCAGAUAUGAAAUUCAGUCGUCACUGUAUGGAAAAAUAUUGACGUUUCCGGUACCAUUCAAACUUAACGGGAAAUAGAAACAAGUAUGUAAUAAAUGAUAAUAUAAAGUUAUUAUGUAGGUUUUGAUAUAAUUUUUACAGAAUGUUACUAUUUAUGACAAACAUUAGACGGAUACCUCAAUUAUACCCCCCAAGUUUUGUCUGUUAAUGCAUAUACAUGUAUAUUUAACACAAGAUAGACAAGUGUUAAGAAUCAAGCGAUUAUGUUUGUACUGGUAUUAUAUACCAUCUUGCUUGAAUGAAAUUACAGUCAGCAACAGACUGAUUACAAGUAUUUAGAUAUUUAAAAUAUUUAAACAGCAAUUAUCAAGGGGAAAUAAUGAGUCUUAUUAAUUAUGAAAUUAUCUGUUACAUCAUUCAUUACCUGAUCAGUCACAGACACAACUUAGUAAUAAAAAAAAUCAAAGCGCAAGUCCGAAAAUUUUGCAUAAACUUAACAUAGUUUUGGUUUGGUUAUAUUUUUAUCUUAUGUGUGCGUAUUUUAUUUUGUUUUUUGCAUUUCAUGUUCAGCAUUUUUGUAAAACUGGAACCUUAUCUAUUAUAAAGUUGCUAGUUCACAUAUUGUUUGAUUUUUUAAUGAUUUGCCAUACGAGGUAAUUUUGUAUAUUUAGGAAUCCUGUGCAUAUAUUGUUUUAUUUAUUCCAUUAACAGAUUGUUUAAAUAAUUAUUAUAUUAAAUGUGACACUUAAUAAAAAAGACAAAAACUUU
Molecule: long non-coding RNA, 2785 nt
Organism: Mercenaria mercenaria
Lineage: Eukaryota; Metazoa; Mollusca; Bivalvia; Venerida; Veneridae
Exons: 2
Source: RefSeq, a predicted model, not a curated record